RNAcentral lists this ribosomal RNA (253 nucleotides) under uncultured bacterium. RNAcentral's name for it is "partial 16S ribosomal RNA". It matches the Rfam family "Bacterial small subunit ribosomal RNA", at positions 524 to 776 of the family's 1533-position model. The record is from RNAcentral.
UACGAAGGGUGCAAACGUUGCUCGGAAUUAUUGGGCGUAAAGCGCACGUAGGCGGCUUUGCAAGUCGGAUGUGAAAGCCCUCGGCUCAACCAAGGAAGUGCAUCCGAAACUGCAGAGCUUGAGUACUUAAGAGGAUCGCGGAAUUCCCGGUGUAGAGGUGAAAUUCGUAGAUAUCAAGCGGAACACCGGUGGCGAAGGCGGCCUUCUGGACUGCAACUGACACUGAGAAACGAAAGCCAGGGUAGCAAACGGG